UAGAGUUUGAUCCUGGCUCAGGAUGAACGCUGGCGGCGUGCUUAACACAUGCAAGUCGAACGGACCCUUUCGGGGGUUAGUGGCGGACGGGUGAGUAACACGUGAGAAUCUGCCCAUAGGACGGGGACAACAGUGGGAAACUGCUGCUAAUACCGGAUGAGCCGAGAGGUAAAACUUUUUAAGGCCUAUGGAGGAGCUCGCGACUGAUUAGCUAGUUGGUGGGGUAAAGGCCUACCAAGGCGACGAUCAGUAGCUGGUCUGAGAGGAUGAUCAGCCACACUGGGACUGAGACACGGCCCAGACUCCUACGGGAGGCAGCAGUGGGGAAUUUUCCGCAAUGGGGGCAACCCUGACGGAGCAACGCCGCGUGAGGGAAGAAUGGUUGUGGCCAGUAAACCUCUUUUAAUAGGGAAGAAUUCUGACGGUACCUAUUGAAUAAGCAUCGGCUAACUCCGUGCCAGCAGCCGCGGUAAUACGGAGGAUGCAAGCGUUAUCCGGAAUUAUUGGGCGUAAAGCGUCCGCAGGUGGUUAGUCAAGUCAGCUGUUAAAUACUCAGGCUCAACUUGGGAUGUGCAGUUGAAACUGAUUGACUAGAGUACGGUAGGGGUAGAGGGAAUUCCUAGUGUAGCGGUGAAAUGCGUAGAUAUUAGGAAGAACACCAGUGGCGAAGGCGCUCUACUGGGCCUGUACUGACACUGAGGGACGAAAGCUAGGGGAGCGAAAGGGAUUAGAUACCCCUGUAGUCCUAGCUGUAAACGAUGGAUACUAGGUGUUGGACGUAUCGACCCGUUCAGUAUCGUAGCUAACGCGUUAAGUAUCCCGCCUGGGGAGUACGCACGCAAGUGUGAAACUCAAAGGAAUUGACGGGGGCCCGCACAAGCGGUGGAGUAUGUGGUUUAAUUCGAUGCAACGCGGAGAACCUUACCAGGGUUUGACAUCCUACGAACUUUCCAGAGAUGGAUUGGUGCCUUCGGGAACGUAGAGACAGGUGGUGCAUGGCUGUCGUCAGCUCGUGUCGUGAGAUGUUGGGUUAAGUCCCGCAACGAGCGCAACCCACGUUUUUAGUUGCCAUCAUUCAGUUGGGCACUCUAGAGAGACUGCCGGUGACAAACCGGAGGAAGGUGUGGACGACGUCUAGUCAUCAUGCCCCUUACACCCUGGGCUACACACGUACUACAAUGCUUCGGACAAAGGGCAGCUAGCCAGCGAUGGUAUGCAAAUCUCAUAAACCGAAGCACAGUUCAGAUUGUAGGCUGCAACUCGCCUACAUGAAGGAGGAAUCGCUAGUAAUCGCAGGUCAGCAUACUGCGGUGAAUACGUUCCCGGGCCUUGUACACACCGCCCGUCACACCGUGGAAGUUGGUUUCGCCCGAAGCCGUUACUCCAACCUUUCGGGGAGGAGGACGUCGAAGGCAGGGCUGAUGACUGGGGUGAAGUCGUAACAAGGUA
RNAcentral lists this ribosomal RNA (1449 nucleotides) under uncultured bacterium. RNAcentral describes it as "16S ribosomal RNA". It matches the Rfam family "Bacterial small subunit ribosomal RNA". The record is from RNAcentral.